Molecule: long non-coding RNA, 1017 nt
Filed under: Malus domestica (apple)
Lineage: Eukaryota; Viridiplantae; Streptophyta; Magnoliopsida; Rosales; Rosaceae
Description: long non-coding RNA (MDOM_LNC015317)
Source: RNAcentral
UGAACCAUAUAAAUUGAAUUUGCUUCAAACAGUCUUGAAUUUGCUUCGAAGGUUUGAGAAUUGUAGUUGCCUUCUAUUGAUGAAGCUCUUGUUGGCACCAUAAAUUGGUUUUGCUUCACACUGUCAUGAUCAAGAGUGUGUGAAGCUUUUGAGAAUUGUGGUUGCCCUUCAUUGAUAAAGCUCUUGUUGGCACCAUAAAUUGGUUUUGCUUCACACUGUCUUGAUCAAGAGUGUGUGAAGCUUUUAAGGAUUGUGGUUGAACUCCUUUAAUGAAGCUCUUGUUGGCACCAUAAAUUGGUUUUUCUUCACACUGUCUUGAUCAAGAGUGUGUGAAGCUUUUAAGGAUUGUGGUUGAACUCCUUUAAUGAAGCUCUUUGGCACCAUAAAUUGGUUUUGCUUCACACUGUCUUGAUCAAGAGGGUGUGAAGCUUUUGAGAAUUGUGGUUGAACUCCUUUGAUGAAGCUCUUGUUGGCACCAUAAAUUGGUUUUUCUUCACACUGUCUUGAUCAAGAGUGUGUGAAGCUUUUGAGAAUUGUGGUUGAACUCAUCUAAUGAAGCUUUUGUUGGCACCAUAAAUUGGUUUUGUUUCACACUGUCUUGAUCAAGAAUGUGUGAAGCUUUUGAGAAUUGUGGUUGAACUCCUUUGAUGAAGCUUUUGUUGACACCAUAAAUUGGUUUUGCUUCACACUGUCUUGAUCAAGAGUGUGUGAAACUUUUGAGAAUUGUGGUUGCCCUCCAUUGAUGAGGCUCUUGUUAGCACCAUAAAUUGGUUUUGCUUCACAUUGUCUUGAUCAAGAGUGUGUGAAGCUUUUAAGGAUUGUGGUUGAACUCCUUUAAUGAAGCUCUUGUUGGCACCAUAAAUUGGUUUUGCUUCACACUGUCUUGAUCAAGAGUGUGUGAAGCUUUCUACGAGUUGUAGUGUUUGCAUUGUUACAGAGGGGAAAUGUCUGAAGUAGAUGCAAGAGGGCUGAAUAGCUUGAUCUUCGUAUGCCAUGCACUAAAGUUAUUGUUGGCUU